CAGGUGGUGCAUGGCUGUCGUCAGCUCGUGUCGUGAGAUGUUCGGUUAAGUCCGGCAAAGAGCGCAACCCACAUAUUUAGUUGCCAGCAGGUUAAGCUGGGCACUCUAGAGAAACUGCCCGUGAUAAGCGGGAGGAAGGUGUGGAUGACGUCAAGUCCUCAUGGCCCUUACGGGUUGGGCUACACACGUGCUACAAUGGCAUCAACAAUGGGUUAAUCCCUAAAAGAUGUCUCAGUUCGGAUUGGGGUCUGCAACUCGACCCCAUGAAGUCGGAAUCGCUAGUAAUCGCGUAACAGCAUGACGCGGUGAAUACGUUCCCGGGCCUUGUACACACCGCCCGUCACACCAUGGGAGUUGGUUCUACCCGACGGCCGUGCGCUAACUCUUAGGAGAGGCAGCGGACCACGGUAGGAUCAGCGACUGGGGUGAAGUCGUAACGAGGUAGCCGUAAUCGAAUUUCCCGCGGCCGCCGAAR
Molecule: ribosomal RNA, 475 nt
Filed under: uncultured Roseobacter sp.
Lineage: Bacteria; Pseudomonadati; Pseudomonadota; Alphaproteobacteria; Rhodobacterales; Roseobacteraceae
Description: bacterial SSU rRNA
Rfam family: Bacterial small subunit ribosomal RNA
Source: RNAcentral